AAAUGAAACUAGAUUUCUUGUAAGUGGGAUGUGGUUAUGGGAAUUAGGCUCAAUAAAUACAGCUACACACAUACAAUUUGGACAUUUCAUCAAGGAGCUGCCAUAAAGUAGUGGGGAGCCAUCCACCGAAGGCAACCAAUCUGAAACUCUAUAAACAAAGUAAUUCACUCAUUGUGGAGUGAGAAGAGCUAUCUACAUCUACCAGCCAGCAAGUCUUCCAUCGCCUCCACCAAGCAGCCAUCUUCAAACUUGAAAAGAAAGGGAAAUGGAGCGUACUAAUUCAAGAGCUAUAGAAGAUAAUUAUUUCAGUGGAGAGCAUAAGAAUAUCACCACACUGAAAAAUGAGGCGAUCCUUAAUACAAAUGGGUACAUUUAUAAUCCCAUUCCACCACACCCAGAAGAACCUGAGUUUCACAUAUCCAAAGUGGUCCAUGUCACCAAAGGAUCUAAAAUUGAUGAAAUCUUGGAUUCAAAUGGAUUUAGGGGCGGAUAGGAGUCUCCUGUGGUGGAGCCUAGCCAUCGAGCAUGAUGAUAUCAGAGCUGCAGAAGACCGUUACCUGGAGAAGAUCUUCCCAGACAGAACACCAGGGCAGAGAGAGGCACAGAGAGAGAUAGGUUCCUUCCUGAAUCAGUUCACCACCUCACCUGCCUUUAGGCAGGCAUCGCGUUAUGGGAACUUCAGGUUCACUCUCAGUCUGUCUGAUCUCCUGAAGAUGUACAGAGAGCAGAUAUGUGGUGGAGAAAAGCCUGUCCUGAAAGUGUAUGAAAGCACUGUCUACAAACAGGAGAUAAUGUACUCUGUGCUUGUUCACUCUCCAAGUGUGGAUGAGUUUGAGGAGUACCCAUUUCUUGGUGAUGGCAGUGAUGAUGCUGUCUGUGGUUACAGGGAAAACGAUGUAGAGGGGGAAGGAAAAGGACACAUUGUCUGGCGAGCACAAUCCAUGUCAGCAACACAAAAAGUUGGGUUAACCAUAAACAACAUGGACAAAAUAGUAGAAACAGAUGGUAAUGUUUACAAUAAAUGGUACAUGUGGGACCAUGUGACCCUGGCGCUCCACCUGCCAGAAGGCCUGCUCCUAAAUGUUGAUAGAGAGAAUCUGAUCAAAAACCUCACUGCUUGUGAGGCUGAUAAACCGUUUCUUGGGGGUCAUCGCAUGUCCCUCUUAGAUGCUGAGACAAAAGUUCAGAACUUAAACAACUAACUCUGGAACUGAUUAACAAAAUCAGUCAGGCAGGUUACAUUAAAUGUUUAAGGAUAAUCAAUUAACAAACCAUAAAAACAUUAUAUUAUGGUAUACCAUUAACCAUUUUCCCUUUUUUCAUUUUUUUGCACUCAAAUGAACUGUUUAGGGGGGAAAUAUUUGUCUCAUUCAAUAUUUGUCCCACAAUUUAAAACGCUUAUGCCAUAUUUAUAAAAGCACCAGAUGUCAGGGCUUUAUAUCACCCUAUGUCGUGUGACGAUUUAAAUCAUUUAAGCAUCUAUGCAGUUCUUAUGAAGAAAUGCUGAAUGCCUUAUAAAGCUUUUUUAACUUGUUAUUUUUGUGGGACCAAAAUGAUGUUGUGUUAUGUAUUUUUAGGUUACUGUGUCAUAUUGGGGUCAUUUAUGGUCACUAAUAGAUUUAGUGUGAUGGGACUGCAGUGGCAGUAUUUACCACUCAUUCCCACUUUCCUCUAUACAUUUCUGAAUGAUGUAUGUAUAUUACAGCUUUUUGUUUACACUCUUUGAGUCUCUGUAUUGCUACAUAACGAUGAGUAUCAUGUAAUAUUUUCUCCAAUCUAAUUGAACACAAAAAGGAUGUUUUAAAUGAGAAGGUAGGGCUAAUCAAAUUAAAUGCAAGAUUUGAACUGUUCUAUUAACUGUUGUUUGUGUGCAAAGUUACACAUCAAAUCCACACUGUUUGCCUUUUUUGGGAAUAAAUUAUGUAAAUGUCAUCACAA
Long non-coding RNA from Oncorhynchus tshawytscha (Chinook salmon), 1938 nucleotides. RefSeq lists it as uncharacterized. The transcript has 3 exons. NCBI's taxonomy places the organism in Eukaryota, Metazoa, Chordata, Actinopteri, Salmoniformes, Salmonidae. The record is from RefSeq and is a predicted model, not a curated record.